RNAcentral lists this ribosomal RNA (477 nucleotides) under uncultured bacterium. RNAcentral describes it as "bacterial SSU rRNA". It matches the Rfam family "Bacterial small subunit ribosomal RNA", at positions 328 to 793 of the family's 1533-position model. The record is from RNAcentral.
CGCUAUCACUCCUACGGGGAGGCAGCAGUGGGGGAAUAUUGCACAAUGGGCGCAAGCCUGAUGCAGCCAUGCCGCGUGUGUGAAGAAGGCCUUCGGGUUGUAAAGCACUUUCAGUCGUGAGGAAGGUGGUAGUGUUAAUAGCACUAUCAUUUGACGUUAGCGACAGAAGAAGCACCGGCUAACUCCGUGCCAGCAGCCGCGGUAAUACGGAGGGUGCGAGCGUUAAUCGGAAUUACUGGGCGUAAAGCGCAUGCAGGUGGUUUGUUAAGUCAGAUGUGAAAGACCCGGGGCUCAACCUCGGAAUAGCAUUUGAAACUGGCAGACUAGAGUACUGUAGAGGGGGGUAGGAAUUUCAGGUGUAGCGGUGAAAUGCGUAGAGAUCUGAAGGAAUACCGGUGGCGAAGGCGGCCCCCUGGACAGAUACUGACACUCAGAUGCGAAAGCGUGGGGAGCAAACAGGAUUAGAUACCCUGGUAG